GACGAACGCUGGCGGCGUGCUUAACACAUGCAAGUCGAGCGGUAAGGCCCUUUCGGGGGUACACGAGCGGCGAACGGGUGAGUAACACGUGGGUGACCUGCCCUCAGCUCUGGGAUAAGCCUGGGAAACCGGGUCUAAUACCGGAUAUGACUCCAUGACCCAUGUUGUGGGGUGGAAAGCCUUGUGCGGCUGAGGAUGGGCCCGCGGCCUAUCAGCUUGUUGGUGGGGUGAUGGCCUACCAAGCGACGACGGGUAGCCGGCCUGAGAGGGCGACCGGCCACACUGGGACUGAGACACGGCCCAGACUCCUACGGGAGGCAGCAGUGGGGAAUCUUGCGCAAUGGGCGAAAGCCUGACGCAGCGACGCCGCGUGAGGGAUGACGGCCU
Molecule: ribosomal RNA, 387 nt
Filed under: uncultured bacterium
Lineage: Bacteria
Description: bacterial SSU rRNA
Rfam family: Bacterial small subunit ribosomal RNA
Source: RNAcentral